Molecule: ribosomal RNA, 1124 nt
Filed under: Escherichia coli
Lineage: Bacteria; Pseudomonadati; Pseudomonadota; Gammaproteobacteria; Enterobacterales; Enterobacteriaceae
Description: partial 23S ribosomal RNA
Rfam family: Bacterial large subunit ribosomal RNA
Source: RNAcentral
UGUAUAAUGGGUCAGCGACUUAUAUUCUGUAGCAAGGUUAACCGAAUAGGGGAGCCGAAGGGAAACCGAGUCUUAACUGGGCGUUAAGUUGCAGGGUAUAGACCCGAAACCCGGUGAUCUAGCCAUGGGCAGGUUGAAGGUUGGGUAACACUAACUGGAGGACCGAACCGACUAAUGUUGAAAAAUUAGCGGAUGACUUGUGGCUGGGGGUGAAAGGCCAAUCAAACCGGGAGAUAGCUGGUUCUCCCCGAAAGCUAUUUAGGUAGCGCCUCGUGAAUUCAUCUCCGGGGGUAGAGCACUGUUUCGGCAAGGGGGUCAUCCCGACUUACCAACCCGAUGCAAACUGCGAAUACCGGAGAAUGUUAUCACGGGAGACACACGGCGGGUGCUAACGUCCGUCGUGAAGAGGGAAACAACCCAGACCGCCAGCUAAGGUCCCAAAGUCAUGGUUAAGUGGGAAACGAUGUGGGAAGGCCCAGACAGCCAGGAUGUUGGCUUAGAAGCAGCCAUCAUUUAAAGAAAGCGUAAUAGCUCACUGGUCGAGUCGGCCUGCGCGGAAGAUGUAACGGGGCUAAACCAUGCACCGAAGCUGCGGCAGCGACGCUUAUGCGUUGUUGGGUAGGGGAGCGUUCUGUAAGCCUGCGAAGGUGUACUGUGAGGUAUGCUGGAGGUAUCAGAAGUGCGAAUGCUGACAUAAGUAACGAUAAAGCGGGUGAAAAGCCCGCUCGCCGGAAGACCAAGGGUUCCUGUCCAACGUUAAUCGGGGCAGGGUGAGUCGACCCCUAAGGCGAGGCCGAAAGGCGUAGUCGAUGGGAAACAGGUUAAUAUUCCUGUACUUGGUGUUACUGCGAAGGGGGGACGGAGAAGGCUAUGUUGGCCGGGCGACGGUUGUCCCGGUUUAAGCGUGUAGGCUGGUUUUCCAGGCAAAUCCGGAAAAUCAAGGCUGAGGCGUGAUGACGAGGCACUACGGUGCUGAAGCAACAAAUGCCCUGCUUCCAGGAAAAGCCUCUAAGCAUCAGGUAACAUCAAAUCGUACCCCAAACCGACACAGGUGGUCAGGUAGAGAAUACCAAGGCGCUUGAGAGAACUCGGGUGAAGGAACUAGGCAAAAUGGUGCCGUAACU